Molecule: small RNA, 27 nt
Filed under: Arabidopsis thaliana (thale cress)
Lineage: Eukaryota; Viridiplantae; Streptophyta; Magnoliopsida; Brassicales; Brassicaceae
Description: ATSL191120
Source: RNAcentral
AAUAAGACGGAGAAGAAGAGCGAAACC